GGCAGUCUAUCUGCAGUGUGGCCUAUCUCUGCAUAUGUAGCUAUUCCCAUCCAGGAAGGGUGGACAGGACCCACAGCAGCUGCAUGUCCUGGUUGUGAUCUGUGGCCUCAGACACCACGAGGUGAGACGUGAGCCUCUAGAGGUCACUGGCACACCAGACCAGAUGGCAAGAGGGACAGGGCUGCUCUGGGCAAGGUUUUACAGCAAGUGCUGCAGAGUGCAAGGUGACUCUGCUGAAGUUCCUCUGGAAGCUGCAGUUUCUUGUGGACUCUACUCCCCCUCCAGACCUGCUGGUGGUGUUACCUCUUCCAUCUGCAGAACUGUUGCCCUUUCACCAGCUGCACUAGCAUCUGUAGCACCAGGAUCUGCUACUUUGCAGAAAACUGCCUUGUGGCCUUUCUUUUUUACAGAAACAACAUGUUGA
Molecule: long non-coding RNA, 424 nt
Filed under: Anas platyrhynchos platyrhynchos (common mallard)
Lineage: Eukaryota; Metazoa; Chordata; Aves; Anseriformes; Anatidae
Description: lncRNA (ENSAPLG00000025496.1)
Source: RNAcentral